Molecule: ribosomal RNA, 422 nt
Filed under: uncultured bacterium
Lineage: Bacteria
Description: bacterial SSU rRNA
Rfam family: Bacterial small subunit ribosomal RNA
Source: RNAcentral
UAAGGAAUAUUGGUCAAUGGACGCAAGUCUGAACCAGCCAUGCCGCGUGGAGGAUGAAGGUCCUCUGGAUUGUAAACUUCUUUUAUCUGGGACGAAACACUUCUUUUCUAAGAGGCCUGACGGUACCAGAUGAAUAAGCACCGGCUAACUCCGUGCCAGCAGCCGCGGUAAUACGGAGGGUGCAAGCGUUAUCCGGAUUCACUGGGUUUAAAGGGUGCGUAGGUGGGCAGAUAAGUCAGUGGUGAAAUCUUCCGGCUUAACCGGGAAACUGCCGUUGAUACUAUUUGUCUUGAAUAUUGCGGAGGUAAGCGGAAUAUGUCAUGUAGCGGUGAAAUGCUUAGAUAUGACAUAGAACACCCAUUGCGAAGGCAGCUUACUACACAAUCAUUGACACUGAGGCACGAAAGCGUGGGUAGCGAACA